UGCCAGCAGCCGCGGUAAUACGAAGGGUGCUAGCGUUGUUCGGAAUUACUGGGCGUAAAGAGCAUGUAGGCGGAUGAAUUAGUCAGAGGUGAAAGCCCCGAGCUCAACUUGGGAACUGCCUCCAAAACUGCUAAACUCGAGUGUGGGAGAGGAAGAUAGAAUUCCUGGUGUAGCGGUGAAAUGCGUAGAUAUCAGGAGGAAUACCGAUGGCGAAGGCAAUCUUCUGGACCAACACUGACACUCAAGCGCGAAGGCUAGGGGAGCGAACAGGAUUAGAUA
Molecule: ribosomal RNA, 279 nt
Filed under: uncultured bacterium
Lineage: Bacteria
Description: partial 16S ribosomal RNA
Rfam family: Bacterial small subunit ribosomal RNA
Source: RNAcentral